CUGCCUGCCCGGUGACAUUAGUUAAACGGCCGCGGUAUCCUGACCGUGCAAAGGUAGCAUAAUCAUUUGUUCUCUAAAUAAGGACUUGUAUGAAAGGCCACACGAGGGUUUAACUGUCUCUUACUUCCAAUCAGUGAAAUUGACCUUCCCGUGAAGAGGCGGGAAUAAAAUAAUAAGACGAGAAGACCCUAUGGAGCUUUAAUUAACCAGCUCAAAAGAAUUUAUUUACCAGACCGACAGGAACAACACUCUCCUUCCAUGAGCUGACAAUUUGGGUUGGGGCGACCUCGGAGCAUAAAAGAACCUCCGAGUGAUAUUAAUCUAGACAUACCAGUCAAAAUGCUCACUUACUUAUUGAUCCAAAGACUUCUUUGAUCAACGGAACAAGUUACCCUAGGGAUAACAGCGCAAUCCUAUUCAAGAGUCCAUAUCGACAAUAGGGUUUACGACCUCGAUGUUGGAUCAGGACAUCCUAAUGGUGCAGCAGCUAUUAAGGGUUCGUUUGUUCAACGAUUAAAGUCCUACGUGAUCUGAG
Molecule: ribosomal RNA, 535 nt
Filed under: Melursus ursinus (sloth bear)
Lineage: Eukaryota; Metazoa; Chordata; Mammalia; Carnivora; Ursidae
Description: partial large subunit ribosomal RNA
Rfam family: Bacterial large subunit ribosomal RNA
Source: RNAcentral